AACGCGUUGGCCCAAUUGAUUGAUGGUGCUUGCACCUGAUUGAUUUUGGUCGCCAACGAGUGGCGGACGGGUGAGUAACACGUAGGUAACCUGCCCAGAAGCGGGGGACAACAUUUGGAAACAGAUGCUAAUACCGCAUAACAGCGUUGUUCGCAUGAACAACGCUUAAAAGAUGGCUUCUUGCUAUCACUUCUGGAUGGACCUGCGGUGCAUUAGCUUGUUGGUGGGGUAACGGCCUACCAAGGCGAUGAUGCAUAGCCGAGUUGAGAGACUGAUCGGCCACAAUGGGACUGAGACACGGCCCAUACUCCUACGGGAGGCAGCAGUAGGGAAUCUUCCACAAUGGGCGCAAGCCUGAUGGAGCAACACCGCGUGAGUGAAGAAGGGUUUCGGCUCGUAAAGCUCUGUUGUUAAAGAAGAACACGUAUGAGAGUAACUGUUCAUACGUUGACGGUAUUUAACCAGAAAGUCACGGCUAACUACGUGCCAGCAGCCGCGGUAAUACGUAGGUGGCAAGCGUUAUCCGGAUUUAUUGGGCGUAAAGAGAGUGCAGGCGGUUUUCUAAGUCUGAUGUGAAAGCCUUCGGCUUAACCGGAGAAGUGCAUCGGAAACUGGAUAACUUGAGUGCAGAAGAGGGUAGUGGAACUCCAUGUGUAGCGGUGGAAUGCGUAGAUAUAUGGAAGAACACCAGUGGCGAAGGCGGCUACCUGGUCUGCAACUGACGCUGAGACUCGAAAGCAUGGGUAGCGAACAGGAUUAGAUACCCUGGUAGUCCAUGCCGUAAACGAUGAGUGCUAGGUGUUGGAGGGUUUCCGCCCUUCAGUGCCGGAGCUAACGCAUUAAGCACUCCGCCUGGGGAGUACGACCGCAAGGUUGAAACUCAAAGGAAUUGACGGGGGCCCGCACAAGCGGUGGAGCAUGUGGUUUAAUUCGAAGCUACGCGAAGAACCUUACCAGGUCUUGACAUCUUGCGCCAACCCUAGAGAUAGGGCGUUUCCUUCGGGAACGCAAUGACAGGUGGUGCAUGGUCGUCGUCAGCUCGUGUCGUGAGAUGUUGGGUUAAGUCCCGCAACGAGCGCAACCCUUGUUACUAGUUGCCAGCAUUAAGUUGGGCACUCUAGUGAGACUGCCGGUGACAAACCGGAGGAAGGUGGGGACGACGUCAGAUCAUCAUGCCCCUUAUGACCUGGGCUACACACGUGCUACAAUGGACGGUACAACGAGUCGCGAACUCGCGAGGGCAAGCAAAUCUCUUAAAACCGUUCUCAGUUCGGACUGCAGGCUGCAACUCGCCUGCACGAAGUCGGAAUCGCUAGUAAUCGCGGAUCAGCAUGCCGCGGUGAAUACGUUCCCGGGCCUUGUACACACCGCCCGUCACACCAUGAGAGUUUGUAACACCCAAAGUCGGUGGGGUA
Molecule: ribosomal RNA, 1415 nt
Filed under: Limosilactobacillus fermentum
Lineage: Bacteria; Bacillati; Bacillota; Bacilli; Lactobacillales; Lactobacillaceae
Description: bacterial SSU rRNA
Rfam family: Bacterial small subunit ribosomal RNA
Source: RNAcentral